GCGUGGCUCUCCCGGGCCACCCCACGCCCGUGACGCGGACACGGAGGCUCUUCCCACGCCCGUUUUGGCGGAAAUCGAGGCAUUUUCCGCCCUGGGACGGACUCAUCCCCUUCACCUGGGAGCUUCAGCCGCAGGUGGAGCUGAAUACAGUGGUUAACUACAAGCAAUAUGUUCUGAAGAUGAUGGUGUUCAGACAAAUACCCAAUUUGAUUCUGAUAAAUUGGAUGCAAGACUUUGACCAGAAUGAGAAGAACAGAGAGAACAACAUGGAACUAUUAUGAAUCCAGUCAGAUCCCACAUAGGGUUGACAGCAGAGAAAAGCAAAGCCUACGUUGAAUCCAUAACUUCUGCUUAUGGAAUAAUAUAUAUUUUGGGAUGAUAACAGAGGCCAUGUGUAGUGAAGUAUCUCCUCAUCCCAAGGCAUUGUGGAAGCAGACAGCAUCCCAGACCUGUGGAGGAGCUCAGCAGGGGGAGAAAAUAUUCCCAAUGUCGUGUUGCUGCUGGUGGCUCAGGCAGUUUGAACAGAGGUCUGUGGUGGUCCAGCUUGUUGGAAACUUUUGUGCUCAAACCAGGAGGAUGCUACAGCUGGAGCUAAUACAUGAAUUUCAAAUCUGUGCCUCCGCCAGUUUUGACACUGUGCAAUGAAGCAUCCGAGCUCUCAGAUGUCUGGCUCUUCCGAGUUGUGAAAUGAGAAAACAAACAAACCCAGCCAUUCCAGCCCUGUCAAUCUACUUCUCAGUGGACAGAUGCCCUGGUGCCAGAAAAGCUUCAGCCCAUGAUCCCACACCUCUUGGCAGUGCCAAAAAAAAGCCGGAGAUCUACUGGACGCAAAAGUGCGGCGGUUCCUCACCUCGAAGAAAUGGUGUUUGUGGCCACGCUGGAGCUCCUGGGUGAGGCUGUGUGGGGAAAUGUGUGCAGGCUCUUCUUCCUGCACGAGUGAGUGAUUCCUGGUCUCCUAGAUAAUCCACCUGAUCUGCUCCUGGAGCAAGGUGCCUCCGGACAGGGAUGGAUUAAUGGGUGACAGUCCAGGUUUGUGCACUGAGGUUUCUGGAAUGAGCCAGGUACAUCGGUAGAUUUUGUGGAUUGCAUUGUUAAUUAAUUAAAUGGCACCAUUAAUUAUGGUUUUAAAUAUUUUAUUGGGCACUUAUCUGGUGGGAAUUGGCUAAAGUUUCUGAGAAAAUGGCAGAGCUUGGGUUUUAACACAGACAACUCUCUGUGCCAUCUAUGGCCAUGUCCCUUUGAAGGCCAUCACUGGAGGUCCCAGCCCAGGUGUCCUGUUGGGCACAGGAUUUUUUGGAGGGGGAUGAGGCUUCAGUCUGGUCCCUCCACACACUCCUGGGGACAUCUUGGUGGGCACAGUUCCAACAAAGCCCAGCCUAGUGCAGCUGAACCCCCCAAGAUGCACAAAAGCACCCUGGAAGUCUUGAAAGGUGGGUUUAAAACCCUGCAGAUCCCGCCGCAUUUAUUGUACUGGCCCUGACAGAGCCAAUGACCUGCUUUGGCACAGACAAGGUUUUCCUUUUGGCUAACGAUUUGCGUUUAGUGUCACACGGGGCAUCCCAAGAAGCUGCAGCAUUCAGGCCUUUUUAAUGAAUUCCUAUCCCUUGCAUAUUAGUGGGAAUAUUUCCACUGCAGCAAACACCAUAAACAGUUUCCACACUGGGGUGUGUUAUACUGCCACCAGAAUUGGUUCUUCUGAUGGUUCAUUUCUUUUAUGCUGAGAAUUCAGGACCAAUUCAGCUCGGUUUUAUGCAUCAUUAGAGAUUUACAAUUACUUUGCUAUAGUUUCUUUCUGGAAGCCUAUCUCUCAUGGUUAAUGCUAUGGGAGUCCUGUUGUGUAGAGGCUGCUAUGAGCCACCUUAUAGCAAUAAAGCAUUUGAGAAGGAUUUGGAAUUAUGAGUGGCUAAAUUCUCUGUGCAGUGCCUGUAAUGCUGUUAUCCCUUGCUGAGCUUGGGUUGAAACUCUUUUUUUUUUCUUCUCCCCAAAUUAGAAGAAAAAAAUGCCGUUUCUUUGAGACAUUUUGAAUCAUUUAAAUGCAAUUUUUUUUUGUUGAACCGCUGCAGUCGGAAAUGAGGAAUUGUACGAAUUUCCAUUUGGAUUUCAUGAUCCUUAAAAUACAUUCAGGUUGUAUUAGUAUAAAAUGAAAAAAAGGCCUCUUCUUUUUCUUUUUUUUUAAAUCUCACUUUUAAAAAGUCUAAUCAUUAUUUGGGAUUUUAUUUUGGCUUUUGUAUUUUAUGUGUGUUGCUAAAGCCAAUAAAUUUCACAAUCUCUGCCCUUGCACAAUAAGCAGUGGAUCUGCAUGUGUUAUAAUCCACAUAACUCACGUUUUACGUAAAUACACUAUUGCACUGAAACAAACAUGAUAUGUAGUGAAUAAUAUGGGCCUGAUCUAAAGGCCAUUAAAAUCAAUGAAAAGAUUUCAAAUUAACAUUUAUAGCUUUUAGAUCAGGCUCUAAAUGGGAAAAUUACAGUUAUGGAGUUUCCCAUUUACAUACCUGUGUGCUGCACUUAAUGUAUUUUAUGGAAUUGAAAUUACUUGGUCCUCUUUUUCAUGCUUUUUUAGGCUAAGAAUUUGCCAAGGGCAUCAACAGCAGUUUUCCCAGGCUCCAGCACAAGGAUUUAGUCAAUCCACUGAUGACUCAAAUCUUUGAAGAAAAGGACAUGGUUAUCAGAGAAGCGCUUUGACGACAGCAAGGACGGGAGUGCUAUCUGCCUUUUUCCAUCAGAGAUUCCCAUUCCCUCUCAUUAACAUACUCAGGACAUCAGCACAGCCAUCGGGCCCGAGGGAAUCG
RNAcentral lists this long non-coding RNA (2792 nucleotides) under Corvus moneduloides (New Caledonian crow). RNAcentral describes it as "lncRNA (ENSCMUG00000020232.1)". The record is from RNAcentral. Lineage: Eukaryota; Metazoa; Chordata; Aves; Passeriformes; Corvidae.